UGAGACCGGCGCACGGGUGCGUAACGCGUAUGCAAUCUACCUUUCACAGAGGGAUAGCCCAGAGAAAUUUGGAUUAAUACCUCAUAGCAUAGCAGUCUCGCAUGAGACCACUAUUAAAGAUUUAUCGGUGAAAGAUGAGCAUGCGUCCCAUUAGCUAGUUGGUAUGGUAACGGCAUACCAAGGCUACGAUGGGUAGGGGUCCUGAGAGGGAGAUCCCCCACACUGGUACUGAGACACGGACCAGACUCCUACGGGAGGCAGCAGUGAGGAAUAUUGGACAAUGGGCGCAAGCCUGAUCCAGCCAUGCCGCGUGCAGGAUGACGGUCCUAUGGAUUGUAAACUGCUUUUAUACAGGAAGAAACACCUCUACGUGUAGAGACUUGACGGUACUGUAAGAAUAAGGAUCGGCUAACUCCGUGCCAGCAGCCGCGGUAAUACGGAGGAUCCAAGCGUUAUCCGGAAUCAUUGGGUUUAAAGGGUCCGUAGGCGGUUUAGUAAGUCAGUGGUGAAAGCCCAUCGCUCAACGGUGGAACGGCCAUUGAUACUGCUAGACUUGAAUUAUUAGGAAGUAACUAGAAUAUGUAGUGUAGCGGUGAAAUGCUUAGAGAUUACAUGGAAUACCAAUUGCGAAGGCAGGUUACUACUAAUAUAUUGACGCUGAUGGACGAAAGCGUGGGUAGCGAACAGGAUUAGAUACCCUGGUAGUCCACGCCGUAAACGAUGGAUACUAGCUGUUGGGAGCAAUCUCAGUGGCUA
This 756-nucleotide ribosomal RNA is filed under the name Flavobacterium sp. RNAcentral describes it as "bacterial SSU rRNA". It matches the Rfam family "Bacterial small subunit ribosomal RNA", at positions 90 to 849 of the family's 1533-position model. The record is from RNAcentral. Lineage: Bacteria; Pseudomonadati; Bacteroidota; Flavobacteriia; Flavobacteriales; Flavobacteriaceae.